CUGGCUCAGGAUGAACGCUAGCUACAGGCUUAACACAUGCAAGUCGAGGGGCAGCAUGUGGUUGCUUGCAACCAAUGAUGGCGACCGGCGCACGGGUGAGUAACGCGUAUCCAACCUUCCCCUUAGUAGAGGAUAGCCCGGCGAAAGUCGGAUUAAUACUCUAUGUUCUUCAAUGCGGACAUCUAAGUUGAAGCAAAGAUUUAUCGCUAAGGGAUGGGGAUGCGUCUGAUUAGGUUGCAGGCGGGGUAACGGCCCACCUGGCCUACGAUCAGUAGGGGUUCUGAGAGGAAGGUCCCCCACACUGGUACUGAGACACGGACCAGACUCCUACGGGAGGCAGCAGUGAGGAAUAUUGGUCAAUGGGCGCGAGCCUGAACCAGCCAAGUAGCGUGCAGGAACCGACUGCCCUAUGGGUUGUAAACUGCUUUUAUCAGGGAAUAAAGUGAGGCACGCGUGCCUUUUUGUAUGUACCUGAUGAAUAAGGACCGGCUAAUUCCGUGCCAGCAGCUGC
RNAcentral lists this ribosomal RNA (511 nucleotides) under uncultured bacterium. Its description in RNAcentral is "bacterial SSU rRNA". It matches the Rfam family "Bacterial small subunit ribosomal RNA", at positions 19 to 518 of the family's 1533-position model. The record is from RNAcentral.